Molecule: long non-coding RNA, 670 nt
Filed under: Struthio camelus australis
Lineage: Eukaryota; Metazoa; Chordata; Aves; Struthioniformes; Struthionidae
Description: lncRNA (ENSSCUG00000001064.1)
Source: RNAcentral
CUCUAUGGUCGAGUGGUCAUAGCGGUGCAGUGAGCAGGAGGCAAUCAGAGCCUGUUUGGCUCUUGGCUUGACCUUAUGAGCUUGCCUGCUGGUGUUUCCGGGAUGUGGACCCCUGUUCACCAGAAAGUGAUGGAAACCACACACCCAUUUGUUCUAGAACUGGCCAUUGCUUGACCUUCUGAACAUUUCUGACCUGUACUCAGAUCAGCAGUUUACAAUGGGAUAACGAUUUAUGGCUUUAUGCUAUGCAGUGUGAGAAACGCAUUUUCUGCUAUAAUGAGUGGAAACCUGGAUCUUCACUGCUGCUCAGGGUCUGCCUUUUUAUCUGCACUGUGUGGUUCAUGAGUGACUUUCCUGAAGAACCUUGGCCACCGUGGACGUUCAAGCAGGCAGGAAAAAAGGAGAUGGCAGCGCCCCAGAAACCUGCCCCGAAGGGUGCAUCCCGCAGGAGCGUCCCCAGGCUGGUGGAGGCUCUUCCAGCCCCAGUGGGAAGAAAAGGAAAAGCAGGGCUGAGGAAGGUCAGUACGUGGAUCAACUUAUUUUCCCCUCGGACGGGGGAUCACAGGUGCUGUGCAGGCAGUCUGCCCCUCCGACACAUAGAAAGGAGAAUUUUGUCCUCUUCAGCACCGAGGGAAAUUCCCACGGCUAACGGACUGACCCUUCCUACCCU